RNAcentral lists this ribosomal RNA (392 nucleotides) under uncultured Brevundimonas sp. RNAcentral describes it as "bacterial SSU rRNA". It matches the Rfam family "Bacterial small subunit ribosomal RNA", at positions 1 to 426 of the family's 1533-position model. The record is from RNAcentral. Lineage: Bacteria; Pseudomonadati; Pseudomonadota; Alphaproteobacteria; Caulobacterales; Caulobacteraceae.
ACUGGAGUUUGAUCCUGGCUCAGAAUGAACGCUGGCGGCAGGCCUAACACAUGCAAGUCGAACGGACCCUUCGGGGUUAGUGGCGGACGGGUGAGUAACACGUGGGAACGUGCCUUUAGGUUCGGAAUAGCUCCUGGAAACGGGUGGUAAUGCCGAAUGUGCCCUUCGGGGGAAAGAUUUAUCGCCUUUAGAGCGGCCCGCGUCUGAUUAGCUAGUUGGUGGGGUAAUGGCCCACCAAGGCUACGAUCAGUAGCUGGUCUGAGAGGAUGACCAGCCACAUUGGGACUGAGACACGGCCCAAACUCCUACGGGAGCAGCAGUGGGGAAUCUUGCGCAAUGGGCGAAAGCCUGACGCAGCCAUGCCGCGUGUAUGAUGAAGGUCUUAGGAUUGU